Momordica charantia (bitter melon) is the source of this 3530-nucleotide non-coding RNA. Lineage: Eukaryota; Viridiplantae; Streptophyta; Magnoliopsida; Cucurbitales; Cucurbitaceae. The record is from RefSeq and is a predicted model, not a curated record.
CCGAAUUAUUUGGAAUGUCUCUUCUUUUCAUUUUCGUUGACCCGGUCUUCUCCCCGAUGCAAGGAACCAUGGAGAUCGAGAUGCAAGGAACCAUGAAACCCUAACCCUUCCAAUCCCGAUUUCUUCAUAAUUUCUGCAAAUUCUUUGAAACCCUAAUUCUACCCAUCCCGAUUUCUUCAAAUAUUAACAACUUCAUAACUUAAGAAACCCUAAUCCUACUCAUUCCGAUUUUGUAAAAUGUUAUAAAUGUCUUGCGAUUUUACCCAAAUUUCGGCCGAACCUGAGAAUCCUAAUCCUACCAAUUUCGAUUUCAUAUUAUUAUUAAUUUAUCGCAGUUUCAACCAAACUUCGAUGUCCGGAUCAUCCGUUGUGACGCUCGAUCGAUUCAUCAGAAACCCUAACGUUUAAACUUCAAUCUGAUAUCCUCUUAAAUGGAUUAAUGUUGGGUACUGCAAAUCACGAAGAUCAAUUCAUCCGAAAACCCUAAUCUGGUAAUUGAUCGUGAAUGUCUCGAGGAAUUAAUAUAAUUUCGCGCCUAUUUCUCUCUCUUGUCCAUAAUCAAUCUUUUCUUUACGCGCGAAAUAUGGAACUUGAAUCACGGAACUCCUCAAUCCGAUUUUUCUCUGUCUCGAAACAAACUUCAGAGGAUCUUUCGAUCUCCACAUUUCUGAGUCGCAACAGCAGCAUCGUUACUUCAUCAGCCGAGGUGUACAAAUCUCGAUGCGUCGUCACCGAUUAAAUCUCUGCAGCUUACGAUUUUAAGGAUUGAAGCUAUUCACCAACGACGUCACGAUCUGCCACCAUGUUCGGUAACGAAAAUCAAAUGGAUAUUGGUUCGGUUAUCGAUAUUACGAGUCAUUUUCUUAGCAUGAUACAAAUAAGAAAAAGGAAAGUUGACAAACGACAGAUGAAUAAGAUUCUUUGGCACAUGCUGAUUCUGUCCCUUACCUUAGGAAGCCUAAUUUCAGCAACUUGAGAAGGGAGCAUGAAGUUCUGUUCUUACAACCUUUAAAGCUGAAGCUGAUGCCAUUACUUGGUUACGAGGGCUCUCUUAUCAUGGAUGGAUUUCUUCUAUCAAGUACAUUUUGCUCCUCGUAAUGGUCCUCAUUUUGCUAUUGAAGUUAUAGAUGAGAAUUAAACAAUCCACUCCAGUUUCUAGUGGGAGGAGUCAAGUUGUCAAUUAAAUUUCUAUGGAAAGGAGCAACACUAAAAUCACUUAUUGGGAGGAAAGGAUGACAUGCUCUGGUUUAUGAUAUUGGCUCUACUAAUGCAAUAUGGGAAUGGGUAUUCUCUCAAAGAUGAACGAGGCAACAAUUCUUUGGCAUAUGCUUAUUCUGUCCCACACCGCAGGAUGUAUGGUGAAGCUAACAUGGAAGCAUAAAUUCAUCAGAAGGGAGCAUAACUUCUGCUUUUUACCACCUUUAAAGCUGAAGCUGAUGCCAUACUUGGUGACGAAAUGGGUCUCCCAGACUGCUGGUUUUUCUGGAUCCAUUGUUAACUAAGGAUGUAAUUCUGGAAAAUUGGGUGAAUUAUACUUCUGGCGGUGGAGGCAUCUUGAAUGAAGCUGAAGGCCACUUUUCGUGAGUUUCUUGAUCGCCAUAUCUCAAAAACAACCCAACCAAUCUUUUGAUCGAGCUUUCUCUGAUCUUAAUUGGGACCAAGACAGAGCUGAGUGUACAGACUUAGGGAUUGGGCUACUUUGGACUUUUCAAAACUGGUUAGAAAAUAUUCCUUCGUUAGUUGUAGUAAUGAAAAUUUAUUUUUUUUCUUGAACACUCUUCUUACCUCUCAUAAUACGUUGAGCGCAAUGUUAAAAUUUUUAAAAACCAUCCAGUGGGAAUCGUUAAAAGUUUUAACAAUUUCGUAUUGUGCAUUUUUUGACGACAUUGUUCUGCUUUAAAAGAGGAGACUUCACAAAUAGGCACCUCAUACCUUAGUCCCUUUAUGAAAGUUAUAUAUAUUCAUUAUAUUGGUUCCAUUAUCAAACAUUUUGGAGGGUGUGAGUUGAUAUGCGUAUAGAAUAGUAUGCAAUCUAAAUUUUGUUUUGUUUGAGUUUUUGGAUUCAAGGGAUGCCGAAAGUGAUUCUAUCCUUGGAGACAUGAGAGGAAAGCAAAAAUUUUUAUUACUUGGGGUAUCUUCAACUAAAUACUUCACUUUCAAGUGGAAGGAUCAGAGAUGCUAGUUAGAUUUUAUAACUGGUAACGAUGCUGUUGAGGUAAACCAUCUUAUAAUGGUAUACUGUUUCAUGUUUCAGUAAGGAAAGUUGUUGAAAGUACAUCCUAUUGUACACUUCAGGACAACAUGUUAUGAUUCAUAUUUGUUGGCAAAUAAGAUGUGAGAAUGAGUAUUUUCUCAAAGGUAUAUCUCCCUACUUAUUCUUUGAACUUAAAAUAAUUGCAUUAUCUCUUGGCUGCAUAUUUAGAAUUGUGACAAUUAUUGCAAGGAUAUUCUUUGGCAACGUAUUUUGAGAGGCACGGAUAGAGGCUUAGUGGAAGAUGCCUUUGCUAGGAGAGAAGUUCAUUUCACUCAUAUUUGCACCAUUUUAUUUGGAUCUAGGAGGGAUGAGUUAUUUGUAAACCUAAAUAGGCAGUCAUACAUGUCUUCCAGUCCAUUUUCAAACCUAGAACUAACAGAACGAAUUGUCCACCCUCUAUCGUUUGUCAUAUUCCCUCUUUAUUUACCUUGAAUAAUGUUAGCAGACAUAAGAAAGUAUAGUAGCUUGCGGAGUCAUGGUGGAUGUACUUUAAGCAGGACAAAAUCGCCUACAAUCUCUCCUCCAUCUAAUCCAAGAUGGUUACUAUUAUUGACUUUUGAGGGCUUAUUACUACCUGGAUAGAUUUCUUCAAGUCGUGGCAUAGAAGAAAUAGGCAGGAAUAACCCAUUUGAUGCCUCCAUAUCCUUUAUUGGGCCAUCUCCCUCAUUUCGCCACCAACAAUCAAUUAGUGCUCCCCAUUUGAUGCCUCUACUUCCUUUAUUCUCCAUUAUUUUUUAUUGUUUAUUUCUUUUUCUUUUUUCUCAAGUAUUAUUUUGGUAUCUACAGCUUAACAGAGUUAAACACUCCAGUUCCUAGUUGGAGGAGUCAAGUCGUCAAUUGAAUUUCUUCUGGAACCAUUAAGCCUGCUGAAGAAGCAACACUGAAAUCACUUAUUGGGAGGAAAGUGAGAACAAAAUGACCCAUGUCGCUGUUGAGGGAUGACAUGCUCUGGUUUAUGAUUUUGGCUCUACUAACGAGAUAUGGGAAGGUAUUAUCCCAAGGUUGACUUUAUGGGACCGUAGUUGGGAUUGCUGCAAGAAUCAUUAUGGCUGCGAGGCCUUUUUUUCUUGACUCCAAUGUUUGAGUACCCCUCAGGUUUAUCUUCAUGUUAUAACUGUUCUCCCAUGCUCUUACUCUUAUUUAAACUUUAUUGAGAUAUAAGUUAGGGACAACAUCUCCAAUUAGUAUGAGUUUUUUCGGUUUUUGGGUGAUACCAAAAGCAAAGCUAUGAGUGUUAUGCCCAAAUUAGACAAUAUCAUACCAAUAUCAAUGUAGA